GACGAACGCUGGCGGCGUGCUUAACACAUGCAAGUCGAACGGUGAAGGGGCCUGCUUUUGUGGGCCCUGGAUGAGUGGCGAACGGGUGAGUAACACGUGAGUAACCUGCCCCCUUCUUCUGGAUAACCGCAUGAAAGUGUGGCUAAUACGGGAUAUUCUGGGUCUGUCGCAUGAUGGGUCUGGGAAAGAUUGCGCCUUUGGGGGUUUUUGGUGGGGGAUGGGCUCGCGGCCUAUCAGCUUGUUGGUGGGGUGAUGGCCUACCAAGGCGGUGACGGGUAGCCGGCCUGAGAGGGUGGACGGUCACACUGGGACUGAGACACGGCCCAGACUCCUACGGGAGGCAGCAGUGGGGAAUAUUGCACAAUGGGCGCAAGCCUGAUGCAGCGACGCCGCGUGAGGGAUGGAGGCCUUCGGGUUGUAAACCUCUUUCGCCAGUGAAGCAGGCCUGCUCCUUGUGGGUGGGUUGACGGUAGCUGGAUAAGAAGCGCCGGCUAACUACGUG
This 502-nucleotide ribosomal RNA is filed under the name uncultured bacterium. RNAcentral describes it as "partial 16S ribosomal RNA". It matches the Rfam family "Bacterial small subunit ribosomal RNA", at positions 28 to 507 of the family's 1533-position model. The record is from RNAcentral.